ACACCACAAUCAUUUUCUUUUAUCUUCUUCCUCAUUCUCUCUCAAAUAAACUGGAUCCAUACAAUUCAAACUAUUACGACCCAAAUUGGGUUUCCGACCUCUGCGGCGAUUAUCAUCCCGAUUUUUCGGGUUUCAACUUGGAGGAGGAACCUCGUCAAAGCGGCGAGGUGGAGGAGGCACCGCCCGCCCACAGUGCGUCGAAGACCAAGAAAGGAGGGCAGCGGAUGUGGGCACAAGCAUUUGUAUAUUUCCUUUGUGCAGUAGUAAAUGACCGAAUGUGUGGAAUAUAUGUUCUUUGUCAAACCCAGUCCCUCGUCACUAUGAGGAAGUUGAGAUCGAAAGCAAGGCAUUGCGUGUGGGAAAGGCGCUCGCUGUUGUCAGUGUUGAUCUGAGAAGUAAGAAGACUGGAAAACUUUUAGCUCAGUUCUCCCUACUAAAAUUGCAUCCUUUCAUGCUGCUACUUAGCUCUGUAAUAAUUUUAGAUUAUGUUUUUAGGUUUUUUUUUAAUGUAAUUUUUAGGUUUUUAAUAUUAAUGCAAUUUAUUUUUAAAUAAA
Long non-coding RNA from Salvia miltiorrhiza (redroot sage), 554 nucleotides. RefSeq lists it as uncharacterized. The transcript is spliced from 2 exons. NCBI's taxonomy places the organism in Eukaryota, Viridiplantae, Streptophyta, Magnoliopsida, Lamiales, Lamiaceae. The record is from RefSeq and is a predicted model, not a curated record.